Non-coding RNA from Schizosaccharomyces pombe (fission yeast), 263 nucleotides. The record is from the annotation of a GenBank genome assembly. NCBI's taxonomy places the organism in Eukaryota, Fungi, Ascomycota, Schizosaccharomycetes, Schizosaccharomycetales, Schizosaccharomycetaceae.
GUACCGCAGUAUUGCGCUUUAGAACCAUAGGAAGGAUGCGUUUCAAAAAAGUUCCUUUCUGCCUCAAGAGCUAUACGAAUAGACUUCUUCCCUUCGAUGUCCUUUUGACCGCGAUUUAUGACUGGAACAUACCCAAGUCUCAAUGGAAUAACACGUCCAGCUAGAAUAUCUACCACAUCCGUACCUUUAUCCAUUAAAUCAACCUUGGUCAAUACACCGAUAGUGCGAAGACCUUCGGGGUCAACUUCUCUAGCAAGUUUGAG